GCUUUAUAGAUGAGGAAACUGAGGCACAGACGGGGAAGUCACCAGCCCAAGGCACACAGCCAGGAACCAGCAGUCAGGAUCUGAGCCCUGUGGGUGUGAGACUUUUCCAAAGCUCAAAAGGAAUCUGCGAUGAGGUCUGGCGGGAGUCGGGGGCUGCAUAGGAGAGCUGAGCGGCGAGCUAGCCCAGAACGGGGCCGGGAGGAAGGCAUUCAAGGUCUGGCGGGAGUCGGGGGCUGCAUAGGAGAGCUGAGCGGCGAGCUAGCCCAGAACGGGGCCGGGAGGAAGGCAUUCAAGGUACGGGCACAGCUUGCCCAAAGCUGUGGAGUCUGGAAGGGAGCCACGAGGAGCAGGGGUGUCUGGGCCGUGGCAGGGAGGGGGGCCCUCUGCAGGACACGGUCCCAGCCUGAGCUUGUCCUGCCCUGGGUGCUGGCUUCCACCCCCUUUCUAGCUUGGGCCAACUCGGGUGGAGCAGGAUGAGCUGAUGGCUUGGAAGCAGGAGGGGCUUCCUGGAGGAAGCUGAAGCCAAGGGGGUCUGAGGGCUGGAGGUGGGAGGCGGCAGGCAAGCCCAGAGGCUGGGCUGGGUGCUCAUGGGCCAUGGAGAAUGGGCUGAGUGGAGGCCAGGAGACUUGCGGGGGUGUUCACAGGGAGGCAAAGGGCUGGGCACUGGCGCAUAGUGUGGGCGCUCCACCCAGCCCCUCGACCCCUUGUUCUCCCUUUCUGUGGGGUUUGUGCACCCACAGCCCUCCCGCUGUGCUCGCAUCCCAAGGCAGCACCUGUGGCUCUUUCUAGUUGGGCAGCCGUGGGGCAACGGGAACUGAAAGUGAGAAUUGACGCCGGCCCCACCCAAGUGGCCCUUAGCCAAUGACUAGCAGGUGCAGGACCCCAGCUCCUUGUUCGGCAUCAGAAAACUGAGCUUAACUUUCAUUCCAGAGUCCACUGCGGGAUCAGGCUGAGGCCACCCCCUGUAGGACGACACCUUUCCUGGGCUCCGGCCCUCUGUCCUCCUCUCCCUAUUCCUUCUCUGGUUUCCUCUGGAAGAUUUCCCUCACAUCCCAGCUGUACCCAACUCCUCCCUUCAGCGUUUGCUCCUGAGGAGCUGCUCCAAAGACAACUGGGUGAGGCUCCGGGGCCAGAUGACCCGGUUCGAACCCCAGCUCUGCCCCUUACUGCCCGUGGGACCUCAGCCUCUCCGAGCCUCCACUGUCCUCAUCCAUGGAAUGGGCAUUUGAGGGAGGCUGUUCUUCCUCAGGAAGUGACUGCUCGGAUCCAGAACUGAGAACACAGAGGCACUGAGGCCCCAUGUUUUGAAGAAAGCCACUGUCGGUGGGUGGAGCAGACGCCCUCCUCAAGGCGCUGAAGCAGCCUCUGCUGGCCCACCAGCAGCCACCCUUCUGACUCCGACUACUUAUUUCUUCCCACAAGCGAAAUGCGGGGCCUCCCAGCCCCAAGAGGCUGGAGGGUGGACCACAUCUGGGGGAAAGGGAGAUGGGCAGGGAAUGGCAGAGGUCAAAUCACAUCAGUUUUCACUCCAGCCACACUGAUCACUCUCCCGGCCAUUCCUCAGAUAAGCCCAGGACACUCCGGCCUCAGGGCCUUUGCACUGGCCGUUCCUUUCCUCCAUCUGGAACUCUCUCCUCCCACAUGGCCACAGGUUCACUCCCUCACUCCAUCAAGGUUCUGCUCAAAUGCUAUCACCUCAGCGAGGCCUCCCCCGACCAUCUUAUCUAAUCUGACACUGACCCUUUCUAACCUCUUAGGCUGUUCUACUCUUCUUCAUGGCACCCAUCCCUCCCCAGCAGGUGUGUCCGUUUCCUUGUUCAUUGUUUCUCAGGAGAACAGGAGCUCUGGGAGGGCGGAGGCCUCGUCUGUUUUAGCCCCAACACCUGCCCCAGAGCCUGGCCCACAGAAGGUGCUGGUCAAAUGUUUCCUGUAAGAAUGAAGGAAUGAAUUGGACGCCUGCCACGCAGCAGCCUCGACAGUGAGCCAGUGUUAGCCAGCUGGGCUCCAGAUAAAUACAAAUGGCUUGGCCACUUUUUCUCAAGUUCCUCAUGCCAGAUGCCAGCAAGUCAGAGGAGAAAGGGACCCAGAGAGGGGAGGGAGGCCAGCAGAGUAAGGAGCAGUCUGCGGCCCUGGGGUGCGGCCCGUCGCAGCUGGAGGAGAGAGGGGAGUGUUGGACAGAAUGCGAGAUGAAAGUUUUCAUCCAAACUGGGCUGGACUUAGUAUCUGGAAGAGACUAGAGAGUUCUGGGAUCUGCCCAAAGGCCGUUAGGGGCGAGCAGGUCAGGGAGGUUUGAGGGGGACGGCCUGAAGCAGGGACGGGAGAAAAGGAAGGCAGAGCCAGGACUGAUGCCCCGACACCCUGAAUUCAGAGCUCAGUGACCCCGGAGCUGAGAGCAGCGAGGGCAGCAUGGGAUGGUGUGGGCUGAGCUGUGUGCUUGCACACCGUGUGCUUGCACACCGUGUGCUCAACUCAUCCUGCUCUUUUCCUGAGUCCUGGCUGUGUGACCCUGAGCUAGUCCUGUCCCUCUCUGGGCUUCAGAGUCUCCAUGUGUACAAAGGCCAUGUUCCAGGCCCCUCAAAAGCGGCGUUCAAACUGGGAGUGCCUCCUUUAGUGGGUCAUGCAAGCAACUUACUAGACCAUAUUUUUUAAAAAUGAAAUAGAAUUGAAUAGAAGAGAAAAUAUCAGAACCCAGUGCAGAGUCAGGUUAAGUAUCGUUUCCUGAGGCUUCUGUUUAAAUUGCAUAGACGCACACGUGCGCACACGGAAGAAUUUUCUGUGUGUGUAUACUGGGUCAUGAUGGCAAAUAUAUUUAUUCUUAUGGUCAAAAAAGUUUGAAAGUCACCACUCUUAAGGUCCCAGCCUGAACCAGCCAGGGCCCACCAAGGUGCAGACAGGUGGCACUGGCUACAGGCUGACCCUGCGGACUCUAAGGGCCGCUGGGAUAUUCCUAGGGCCCCUGGCCAUCACCUGGGGCUGUUUCAAAACUUCCGCCGCAGACCGGGGAGUAGGGAGAAUGGAGCACGGAGGGGGCCGGCAGGUGAGGUCAAGGCCCAGAGGAGACAGGACUCGAACAAGGUCACUGGUCGAGGCGGAGGUGGACCCGGGGGACUCCUGGCUCCCAGCCCCUCCCCAGCCUUCUCGUCCCCCACCUCAGCUGGGGUGCAGGCACCUCUACCAACACGGCCUUCUCCCCCUGAGGACACUGGCCCCGUGAUGUCACAGGCCGGUUGCCAUGGAGACGUCAGGUAAUGAACCAGCCCAGGGUGAAAAUCACAGGCUGCUCUUCGCCCAGCUGGGACUGGAGGCCACGUCACCACCGGCAACUGGAAAAACACAGCGUUCGUGUCAGGAGAGGGGUCUCAUCCAGAUGUUUCCUCCAUCCCUCUGCCUUCAACUGGAGCUUCUCCUCUGCUCACCAAGGACGCUUCCUGCCUUCCCAUGCCAGCUCCUCAUGCUGCUCUCGCGUCCAACCACACAGACAGUUCCCUCUGAUGUCUAACCUAAACCCCUCUUGAUGCAAAGCUCCCACACUGGUUUUCUCUGUUCCUUGAUGGGGAAACUGAGGCUCACAGAGGUGAAAUGACUUCUGCAAGGUCACCAGCUAGCAAGUGGCAGAGAUGGGGUUCAAACCUAGACCAGUCUGGAACUCCAACGCUUAUGCUCCAACCACUAACCAGUGCUGAUCUCCAGAGAGAGUCCUCAGGCCAUUUUUUCAGGUGAAGAAGCCGUGUUCACUGGUCCCUUCAGAAACCUGGUGACGGCCGGCUGGGAUUUGAAGGCUCAACAAGCUUCCCUCUACCCACAGGAAGCUUAAAGAACCCCCGUUCAGUGGAUGUGUAUGAAGCACCUACUAUGUGCCAGUGUGAACAAGACAGACGUGCCAGUCCUGGAGUCAGUGCUGUGUUUGGUCAGCGUGCUCAG
Long non-coding RNA from Equus caballus (horse), 3921 nucleotides. RefSeq lists it as uncharacterized. Lineage: Eukaryota; Metazoa; Chordata; Mammalia; Perissodactyla; Equidae. The record is from RefSeq and is a predicted model, not a curated record.